Molecule: ribosomal RNA, 497 nt
Filed under: uncultured bacterium
Lineage: Bacteria
Description: partial 16S ribosomal RNA
Rfam family: Bacterial small subunit ribosomal RNA
Source: RNAcentral
GAUGAACGCUGGCGGCGUGCCUAAUACAUGCAAGUCGAGCGAACGGACGAGAAGCUUGCUUCUCUGUUGUUAGCGGCGGACGGGUGAGUAACACGUGGAUAACCUACCUCUAAGACUGGGAUAACUUCGGGAAACCGGAGCUAAUACCGGAUAAUAUUUUGAACCGCAUGGUUCAAAAGUGAAAGACGGUCUUGCUGUCACUUAUAGAUGGACCCGCGCUGCAUUAGCUAGUUGGUAAGGUAACGGCUUACCAAGGCAACGAUGCAUAGCCGACCUGAGAGGGUGAUCGGCCACACUGGAACUGAGACACGGUCCAGACUCCUACGGGAGGCAGCAGUAGGGAAUCUUCCGCAAUGGGCGAAAGCCUGACGGAGCAACGCCGCGUGAGUGAUGAAGGUCUUCGGAUCGUAAAACUCUGUUAUUAGGGAAGAACAUAUGUGUAAGUAACUGUGCACAUCUUGACGGUACCUAAUCAGAAAGCCACGGCUAACUACGUG